UUGGAGGGCAAGUCUGGUGCCAGCAGCCGCGGUAAUUCCAGCUCCAAUAGCGUAUAUUAAAGUUGUUGCAGUUAAAGAGCUCGUAGUUGAAUUUCGGGGUUAGUAGGUUGGUCAUGCCUCUGGUAUGCACUGGUCUCACUGAUUCCUCCUUCCUGAUGAGCCGUAAUGCCAUUAAUUUGGUGUUGCGGGGAAUUUGGACUGUUACUUUGAAAAAAUUAGAGUGUUUAAAGCAAGCUAACGCUUGAAUACAUUAGCAUGGAAUAAUGAAAUAGGACGUUCGAUCCUAUUUUGUUGGUUUCUAGGAUUGACGUAAUGAUUAAUAGGGAUAGUUGGGGGCAUUAGUAUUCAAUUGUCAGAGGUGAAAUUCUUGGAUUUAUUGAAGACUAACUACUGCGAAAGCAUUUGCCAAGGAUGUUUUCAUUAAUCAAGAACGAAAGUUAGGGGAUCGAAGACGAUCAGAUACCGUCGUAGUCUUAACCAUAAACUAUGCCGACUAGGGAUCGGAUGAUGUUAAUUUUUUAAUGACUCAUUCGGCGCCUUACGGGAAAC
Molecule: ribosomal RNA, 549 nt
Filed under: uncultured Rhizophagus
Lineage: Eukaryota; Fungi; Glomeromycota; Glomeromycetes; Glomerales; Glomeraceae
Description: SSU rRNA
Rfam family: Eukaryotic small subunit ribosomal RNA
Source: RNAcentral